This 72-nucleotide transfer RNA is filed under the name Planctomycetota bacterium. RNAcentral's name for it is "tRNA-Thr". It matches the Rfam family "tRNA". Rfam says of the family: Transfer RNA (tRNA) molecules are approximately 80 nucleotides in length. Their secondary structure includes four short double-helical elements and three loops (D, anti-codon, and T loops). Lineage: Bacteria; Pseudomonadati; Planctomycetota. The record is from RNAcentral.
GCCUCCUUAGCUCAGUGGUAGAGCUCUGGUUUUGUAAACCAGCGGUCGUCCGUUCAAAUCGGUCAGGGGACU